RNAcentral lists this ribosomal RNA (433 nucleotides) under uncultured bacterium. RNAcentral's name for it is "partial 16S ribosomal RNA". It matches the Rfam family "Bacterial small subunit ribosomal RNA", at positions 29 to 507 of the family's 1533-position model. The record is from RNAcentral.
AACGAACGCUGGCGGCAUGCCUAACACAUGCGAGUCGAACGAGACCUUCGGGUCUAGUGGCGCACGGGUGCGUAACGCGUGGGAACCUGCCCUUAGGUUCGGAAUAACUCCCCGAAAGGGGUGCUAAUACCGGAUAAUGUCUUCGGACCAAAGAUUUAUCGCCUUUGGAUGGGCCCGCGUUGGAUUAGCUAGUUGGUAGGGUAAAAGCCUACCAAGGCGACGAUCCAUAGCUGGUCUGAGAGGAUGAUCAGCCACACUGGGGCUGAGACACGGCCCAGACUCCUACGGGAGGCAGCAGUGGGGAAUAUUGGACAAUGGGCGAAAGCCUGAUCCAGCAAUGCCGCGUGAGUGAUGAAGGCCUUAGGGUUGUAAAGCUCUUUUACCCGGGAUGAUAAUGACAGUACCGGGAGAAUAAGCGCCGGCUAACUCCGUG